This is a long non-coding RNA of Xenia sp. Carnegie-2017, 1876 nucleotides long. RefSeq lists it as uncharacterized. Lineage: Eukaryota; Metazoa; Cnidaria; Anthozoa; Malacalcyonacea; Xeniidae. The transcript is spliced from 2 exons. The record is from RefSeq and is a predicted model, not a curated record.
CAACAUCUAUGUUUCAGAUGCAAUUUUUAACAUUACAAAACAAAAUUAAUGUUGCCAAAGCGCACUUAAGUAUUGAAAUCUCAAUUCAAAGUCCGCCAAUGCAAAACAGAAGAGUCAAAACGAACUUAUUAAAAUGUUUCAGUGCAAAAUAUUUGUUUAACAAUGCGAAAUGAUUAUCGCGCACCAAAGCUAAUGCAGGCUCAUUCAGAAUCAGCAAGUGUGUUUUGAUUUUAAAUGCUGUUAUGUUUUGCUGUAAAUGUGGCUAUAAACUUGAAAAAACGUUCUUGUUUUGUCCAAGUUACGGCACCAAGAAGCAGGUAGAAGACCUUGAAUCUUCUACUUCCUCGUGUCUAUCUAAAGACUUAAACAACGAAAGCAACUUGAAGAGAAACAAAACAAAGAGCCCAGAGGGAAAAUUCACAAUUUUUUUACCUACAGAAAUGAAAAGGAGGCUGAGCGUCGCUCAUACUUUGAGCCGAAAUUGAAGAAAAGAAAAGUUUGCUCAAAAAGAGAAAAAGAUCAAGAGGUUUUGAUCAAUGUUGGGAUUAUGGAGUUCGAACCAUGCGGUUCAGGCAGUCUCAGAAAAGUGUUCGGAAGAAAGUGUCAACGACGAAGGGGGAAGACUAUGACCGGUCAUUUGAUCGAUAUCGCGGUUAUGUAUUGGUAUAUGCUGACGGAAAAAUUACGCGCACUAUUGCAGGUACCGAUAUCGAGUUUUCUCUGAAGAAAUAAAAGGAAGGCCUUGGCAAAGCUUAUUCAAGGAUAACACUUUAUUUGGCUCCAGUCUUGGAAGCCAAUGAAGCGAAAGAAAAGGAAGUUCUUUUGGAAAAUGAAGAUGAAUUCAGUAAUCUAACCAACGAUGAAGCUAGAAUUGUGGAAAAUAAUUCUUUUACAGAUGAGUAUGAUGAAGGAGAUAGAUCAACUACCAUUAAAACUGAUGAUGACAUGAGAGAUGGAAAUAAUGAGAAUGUUCAACUGAGCAGUCCAGUGUUGGAUGUUGAUGAGCAAACAUUGCUAUAUCAGAUUGAAGAUUUCAUUCCAAUUGGCUACAAUGAGAAUAGUGCUGUCGAAAAAGCUCUCAGGCUCAGCUUAAACCGCAUUAUGGAUAACAAAAGUGAUGUGUUGACCCAACAAUGUCCGUCAAUGAUUUACAAGAGAAGAUAAAGCAACAUACAAAGAUUAAAGUUCAAGGUCCAGAGAGAAAUAUUGUUGUAAGUCGUCUGAGUAUUUGGCAAACAGCCAUGCCUUAUUUCAAAAGAAGUGGCUUCUUGUCUUCACAUGGUUUGUUGUGUUCAUUUAUUAUUAAAGAAGAAACAAAACAACAUAUAUUUAAUAUGAAAACCCACUUACUUCCAACUACAUUCUUUCCACUGGGUAAAGCUACCAACUCCCACGUUUUAUUCUCCAUCAGUGAAAUAUACUCAGCAUCAGUGGCUUCAAUCUAUUCCUUUUUCUGAUCACAUGACCAUGCUUCAUUAAUGUUCCUGGGUUCAUUAAUAUCUGCAGUGAGAUCAUCUGCAACAUAUACCUCUUCAUCGAAUCUAACGGGGGUCUUCGUUCUCUUCGCAAAUUCAGAUUCUCAACUUGUUGCAUAAAAGUUUCUUCAUAAAUUUCUCCCACUGGAUUAUUAGGUUCAGGAUGAAAAAUAUUAUCUUCUCUUACAGCGAGAUCAUCAUUUUCCACAUUACCAUCAUCAGUUUGCAUAAGAGGUGUCUGCAUAUAAAUGUAUUAGCAGUGUUUGAAUUUUUAUUGUCAAAGUUGUAAAACUUCCAUUCAUCAAAAAUUAAAUCUUGGCUCUUGAUGAAUGACGUUGUUUCUGGAUUCUACAAUUUGAAUCCUUUUGUACCUUCAGGAUAACCCAUAAAUAUGCAUUUCG